UGCCCCAGUAUAAAUUUCAUAAAAGGAUUAUUUCUGUUUUCAGAUCAAGCUCCAGAGACUGUCAUCAAACACUCACCGUUCUUGUCAAGAAUAAUGGAUUCGCACCAAAAAAAACAAGAGAAAGAAAAACAAAUUCAGUUUUCCAUCUCCAUUCAGGACCAAUACAGAUUAUUUUGUCCGUCUACACCCUUGGAGUGCUGUGAGCAGAAUAACGUUUAUCAGCGGGCACUGCAGAACCCAGGAUUCAUUUAGCUUCAGAGUUGUGCAAGGAUAUUCCGAUGUUAUUCUAAACGUCAGAGAAAUCAUCUGCUGAAGUAACAGAGAAUGACGAGGGUCAGCUUUUGACGGAGGCGAAGAUCGCAGUGCACCAGGUCUGGAGCGUGGCACCUCCCGCUGGAUUACCAUCUUCCCGAGAAGCCAUUCGUGCCAGCGUACUCAUCGCCCUGCGCUCUCACUGUGACUGGGUGAGAGGGAGGGCUGCCCCCUCCUUCCAGCUCUCCAGGCAUACGUCCCCUCCUGAGAUCCACAAACCUUUCACAUGGGGUUUCUCAUCCGAGGCACCCUCAGAAGCGCCUUAGUCCAAUCUUCACACCAAAGCAGAUACAACCGCAGUGUGUCCAUCCAGACACAGAUUCAAGUUGCAGAGUAUGAUACCUAGGUGCACACUCCAUGCACACUAGGUCCAUGCACACUAGGUCCGUGCACUAGGUGCACACUCCAAUCGUUUUGCGCACUCCGUGGCCUGUCUGCCUGAGUGUCUUGACUUUUAGCCCAUCUGUUCAUAUCACUCCAUUGUAUCCCUCCAUUUUACAAACAGGCACCAGUGAAACGCAAGAAAUGGGGUCUUAUUUGAAGUCUUUUGCUGAACAGAUGACUACAUCA
Molecule: long non-coding RNA, 882 nt
Filed under: Struthio camelus australis
Lineage: Eukaryota; Metazoa; Chordata; Aves; Struthioniformes; Struthionidae
Description: lncRNA (ENSSCUG00000011721.1)
Source: RNAcentral